This 506-nucleotide ribosomal RNA is filed under the name uncultured bacterium. RNAcentral describes it as "partial 16S ribosomal RNA". It matches the Rfam family "Bacterial small subunit ribosomal RNA", at positions 29 to 523 of the family's 1533-position model. The record is from RNAcentral.
AGUGAACGCUGGCGGUAGGCCUAACACAUGCAAGUCGAACGGCAGCACAGGAGAGCUUGCUCUCUGGGUGGCGAGUGGCGGACGGGUGAGGAAUACAUCGGAAUCUACUCUGUCGUGGGGGAUAACGUAGGGAAACUUACGCUAAUACCGCAUACGACCUACGGGUGAAAGCAGGGGACCUUCGGGCCUUGCGCGAUUGAAUGAGCCGAUGUCGGAUUAGCUAGUUGGCGGGGUAAAGGCCCACCAAGGCGACGAUCCGUAGCUGGUCUGAGCGGAUGAUCAGCCACCCUGGAGCUGAGACACGGUCCAGACUCCUACGGGAGGCAGCAGUGGGGAAUAUUGGACAAUGGGCGAAAGCCUGAUCCAGCCAUACCGCGUGGGUGAAGAAGGCCUUCGGGUUGUAAAGCCCUUUUGUUGGGAAAGAAAUCCAGCUGGCUAAUACCCGGUUGGGAUGACGGUACCCAAAGAAUAAGCACCGGCUAACUUCGUGCCAGCAGCCGCCGUAA